UGGGAAGAAGGAGCACGCCUGGGCUGGGA
This 29-nucleotide non-coding RNA is filed under the name Homo sapiens (human). The record is from RNAcentral. Lineage: Eukaryota; Metazoa; Chordata; Mammalia; Primates; Hominidae.